ACUCCUACGGGAGGCAGCAGUGAGGAAUAUUGCGCAAUGGGGGCAACCCUGACGCAGCGACGCCGCGUGGAUGAUGAAGGCCUUCGGGUCGUAAAAUCCUGUCAGAUGGAAAGAAAUGUUAUAUGGAUAAUAGCUGUAUAGCUUGACGGUACCAUCAAAGGAAGCACCGGCUAACUCCGUGCCAGCAGCCGCGGUAAUACGGAGGGUGCAAGCGUUGUUCGGAAUUACUGGGCGUAAAGCGCGCGUAGGUGGUCUGUUAUGUCAAAUGUGAAAGUCCACGGCUCAACCGUGGAAGUGCAUUUGAAACUGGCAGACUUGAGUACUGGAGGGGGUAGUGGAAUUCCCGGUGUANAGGUGAAAUUCGUAAAUAUCGGGAGGAAUACCGGUGGCNAAGGCGACUACCUGNCCANAUACUGACACUGAGGUGCNAAAGC
RNAcentral lists this ribosomal RNA (434 nucleotides) under uncultured delta proteobacterium. RNAcentral describes it as "bacterial SSU rRNA". It matches the Rfam family "Bacterial small subunit ribosomal RNA", at positions 335 to 760 of the family's 1533-position model. Lineage: Bacteria; Deltaproteobacteria. The record is from RNAcentral.